Non-coding RNA from Chiloscyllium plagiosum (whitespotted bambooshark), 382 nucleotides. Lineage: Eukaryota; Metazoa; Chordata; Chondrichthyes; Orectolobiformes; Hemiscylliidae. The record is from RefSeq and is a predicted model, not a curated record.
GCAUUUGUCCCCGUUUCGGAAUAACUGGAAACUUGUUGCUACGUCUCAGGUUUAUGGAACAGACUGUGAAGUUGAGAUUCCUGCCAUUGUGGCAGCCAGAACACAUGGCGAAGAACUCGAGCACUGUAUGACCUCGGAGCCUCAUGGGAAAUGUUAGGAACAAAAUUGCCUUUCGAUGAAACUGCAAUUAAUCAGGGGGAUCCAAAAAUUCCUUCCUCGAAUAUUAGAGGACGAUAUGCAACCAAUUAGUCUUUUGCCACGAAUGAAAUCCACUUGGAUUUUUCUUUCAUUUCCCUGAGGAACCAUCCUUCAGCCGGAAGACAGUUGCUCAUAGAGUUUACAGUAACUUUUCUGUAAAAAGGAAUUUGCACAUGGAUAUUAA